GGCCGUGUGGCGAAAUGGCAUCGCGUCUGACUACGAUUUCGGAAUCAGGAGAUUGCAGGUUCGACCCCUGUCUCGGUCA
Non-coding RNA from Termitomyces sp. T159_Od127, 79 nucleotides. Lineage: Eukaryota; Fungi; Basidiomycota; Agaricomycetes; Agaricales; Lyophyllaceae. The record is from the annotation of a GenBank genome assembly.